CCUACGGGUGGCAGCAGUGGGGAAUAUUGCACAAUGGGGGAAACCCUGAUGCAGCGACGCCGCGUGAGUGAAGAAGUAUUUCGGUAUGUAAAGCUCUGUCAGCAGGGAAGAAAGUGACGGUACCUGAUUACGAAGCCCCGGCUAACUACUUGCCAGCAGCCGCGGUAAUACGUAGGGGGCAAGCGUUCUCCGGAAUUACUGGGUGUAACGGGAGCGGAGACGGCAGCACAAGUCUGGAGUGAAAUGCCGGGGCUUAACCCCGGAACUGCUUUGGACACUGUGCAGCUAGAGUGCAGGAGAGGGAAGUGGAAUUCCUAGUGUAGCGGUGAAAUGCGUAGAUAUAUGGAAGAACACCAGGGGCGAAAGCGGCUAUCUGGUAUGUAACUGACGCUGAGGUGCGAAAGCGUGGGUAGCAAACAGGAUUAGAUACCCUUGUAGUC
Molecule: ribosomal RNA, 440 nt
Filed under: uncultured bacterium
Lineage: Bacteria
Description: partial 16S ribosomal RNA
Rfam family: Bacterial small subunit ribosomal RNA
Source: RNAcentral